UGGCGAACGGUCGCGUAACACGUGGUCAACCUUCCCUACAGGUGGGGAUAACUAGCCGAAAGGUUAGCUAAUACCGCAUAACAUCUACGAGCGGCAUCGUUUGUAGAUCAAAGGAGCAAUCCGCUGAAGGACGGGACCGCGUCCCAUUAGUUAGUUGGUGGGGUAAUGGCCUACCAAGACUCCGAUGGGUAGCUGGUUUGAGAGAGCGACCAGCCACACUGGGACUGAGAAACGGCCCAG
RNAcentral lists this ribosomal RNA (240 nucleotides) under uncultured bacterium. RNAcentral describes it as "partial 16S ribosomal RNA". It matches the Rfam family "Bacterial small subunit ribosomal RNA", at positions 96 to 334 of the family's 1533-position model. The record is from RNAcentral.